UCUGCUCUCACACCACCUACCAAGGCCCUCCCUGCUCUCCGCCGACUCCAAUCCGCCGCCACCACCGCCGCGCCCGCUGUUUCCCCACCCGUCGGAUUCGUGGUCGAGGACUACCUCGUCGACACCUGCGGCCUCACCCGAGCCCAGGCCCUCAAGGCCUCCGCCAAGAUCUCCCACCUCAAGUCCCCUGUCAAACCAGACGCCGUGCUCACCUUCCUCGCCGAACUCGCCCUCUCCACCGCGGACAUCGCGGCCGUCGUCACCGGAGACCCCAAGUUCCUCUGCGCCGGCGUGGAGAGAACCCUGUCCCCGAUCGUCGACGGGCUCACCAGCCUCGGACUAUCGCGUUUAGAGAUCGCGCAACUCGUCUUGCUCGCCAACGACCACUUCCGCAGCAAAUCCGUCGUCUCCAAGGUGCACUACUACGUGCGCCUCUUCGGCUCCUUCGAAGAAUUCCUCCGGGUAUUCAAGCAUAACCACAAUCUCCUAUCUCACAACCUCGAGCGGGUGGUCAAGCGGAAUGUCGGGUUACUGCAGGAGUGCACGCGAGGUGUUUGCGAUAUUGGCAAGCUGUGCACCACUGUGCCAAGGAUGCUCACCGCCAAUGUGGAGCAAAUCCGGGCGAUAGUGGCCAGUGCCGAAGGUUUAGGUGUGCCUCGCGGCUCUGGAAUGUUCAGGCAAGCUUUGCAGUCUGUUGCAUUCCUCAACAACGAGAAGAUCUCCGCUAAAGUGGGCGACUUGAAGGAGAUGUUGAGUUGGUCGGAUGCCGUGGUGCGCAUUGCUUUGUCCAAGGGUCCAUAUCUGCUGGGGAUGUCAAAGGACAUGCUGCAGCGCACGUCCGAGUUCCUUGUCUCUGAGGUGAGGUUGGAGCCGGCCUACAUUGCUCAUCGGCCUUGUAUGCUCACUUAUGGCCUGGAGGGCUGGCUCAGACCCAGGUACUAUGUUAUGAAGUUCCUUAGGCUUUGUUCGGCCCUUAAGGAAAAUGGAUUGCUCAAGCGUGACACGUGCUACUAUACUUUUGUCAAGGCCACCGAGAUGGUAUUCCUGGAGAAGUACGUAUGCCCUUACAAGGAAGCUACACCACACCUUGCUGAACACUAUGCGACCGCUUGCACAGGACAAUUGCCCGUGAGAUUCAUAUUU
This 1143-nucleotide ribosomal RNA is filed under the name Triticum aestivum (bread wheat). RNAcentral describes it as "partial small subunit ribosomal RNA". Lineage: Eukaryota; Viridiplantae; Streptophyta; Magnoliopsida; Poales; Poaceae. The record is from RNAcentral.